UACGUAGGGUGCAAGCGUUAAUCGGAAUUACUGGGCGUAAAGCGUGCGCAGGCGGUGAUGUAAGACAGAUGUGAAAUCUCCCGGCUCAACUGGGAAACUGCAUCGGAAACUGAUCGGCUUGAAGAUGGGAGAGGGUAGUGGAAUUCCCGGUGUAGUGGUGAAAUGCGUAGAUAUCGGGAGGAACACCAGUGGCGAAGGCGACUACCUGGCCCAUUCUUGACGCUGAGGCGCGAAAGCUAGGGGAGCGAACGGG
RNAcentral lists this ribosomal RNA (253 nucleotides) under uncultured bacterium. Its description in RNAcentral is "partial 16S ribosomal RNA". It matches the Rfam family "Bacterial small subunit ribosomal RNA", at positions 524 to 776 of the family's 1533-position model. The record is from RNAcentral.